RNAcentral lists this transfer RNA (77 nucleotides) under Magnetococcales bacterium. RNAcentral describes it as "tRNA-Arg". It matches the Rfam family "tRNA". From Rfam's summary of the family: Transfer RNA (tRNA) molecules are approximately 80 nucleotides in length. Their secondary structure includes four short double-helical elements and three loops (D, anti-codon, and T loops). The record is from RNAcentral. Lineage: Bacteria; Pseudomonadati; Pseudomonadota; Magnetococcia; Magnetococcales.
GUCCUCGUAGCUCAGCCGGAUAGAGCAACGGAUUCCUAAUCCGUAGGCCGUGCGUUCGAAUCGCAUCGAGGACACCA